GUUCGCGGCCUAUCAGCUUGUUGGUGGGGUAAUGGCUCACCAAGGCGACGACGGGUAGCCGGCCUGAGAGGGUGACCGGCCACACUGGGACUGAGACACGGCCCAGACUCCUACGGGAGGCAGCAGUGGGGAAUAUUGCACAAUGGGCGGAAGCCUGAUGCAGGGACGCCGCGUGAGGGAUGACGGCCUUUGGGUUGUAAACCUUUUUCAGUAGGGAAGAAGCGAGAGUGACGGUACCUGCAGAAGAAGCGCCGGCUAAAUACGUGCCAGCAGCCGCGGUAAUACGUAGGGGGCAAGCGUUGUCCGGAAUUAUUGGGGGUAAAGAGCUUGUAGGCGGUUUGUCGCGUUUGCUGUGAAAGCCCGGGGCUCAACCCCGGGUUUGCAGUGGGUACGGGCAGAAUAGAGUGCAGUAGGGGAGACUGGAAUUCCUGGUGUAGCGGUGAAAUGCGCAGAUAUCAGGAGGAACACCGAUGGCGAAGGCAGGUUUUUGGGCUGUUACUGACGGUGAGGAGCGAAAGCAUGGGGAGCGAACAGGAUUAGAUACCCUGGUAGUCCAUGCCGUAAACGUUGGGCACUAGGUGUGGGGGACAUCCACGUUCCGCGCGUGGAGCUUGGGC
RNAcentral lists this ribosomal RNA (617 nucleotides) under Kocuria rosea. RNAcentral describes it as "bacterial SSU rRNA". It matches the Rfam family "Bacterial small subunit ribosomal RNA", at positions 229 to 858 of the family's 1533-position model. The record is from RNAcentral. Lineage: Bacteria; Bacillati; Actinomycetota; Actinomycetes; Micrococcales; Micrococcaceae.